AGUUCUGUUUUAGUUCUGUUAUAGUUCUAGUUCUGUUAUAGUUCUAGUUCUGUUCUAGUUGUGUUCUCGACCAUAAACUGAACGGUAUAUAGGCUAUACUAAGGGCUGCACAUUUAACUGGACCGUAGACUAGAAUAUAGACUGGACUUAAGAACUGAAUUUAAACACUAUGUAAUACAAACUUUAAACAAAAUAUUUACGAUUUUUAUCUCUUUUUUUCCAGAUACCCAUCUCGUUAUGGUUUGUAUCUUAAGGACAAGCCCCUCACUCCCAACUCUUUGGUCCCCUUGGAAUAUGAGCCUGAAGAUAAAUUGCUCCAAGAACUCAACAAGGUUUUGAAAGUUUGAUUUGUUAAAGAUUUAAUAAAAAAUUAUUAACAAAUCUUAGGUCAUAAAGAGAAAACAAAACAAAAUUCUUUUGUUUUUUUAGCUCAAGUUUUAUUUCGAAAUAAACCAAGUUCUUCUAGUUAAUAGUUGAUAUACAAGCAACAACUACAACAACAAACAACAUAUUAAACAAAAACAAUUAAUAAAUAUUUAAUAAAAUUAAUGUCAUUUUAAAAUUUAAGUGCAAUUUUUAAAUAUAGUUUAAAUUUAUAAAACAUA
Long non-coding RNA from Lucilia cuprina (Australian sheep blowfly), 605 nucleotides. RefSeq lists it as uncharacterized. NCBI's taxonomy places the organism in Eukaryota, Metazoa, Arthropoda, Insecta, Diptera, Calliphoridae. The transcript has 2 exons. The record is from RefSeq and is a predicted model, not a curated record.